GACGUAGGGCGCGAGCGUUGUCCGGAUUUAUUGGGCGUAAAGAGCUCGUAGGCGGCUUGUCGCGUCGACCGUGAAAACUUGGGGCUCAACCCCAAGCCUGCGGUCGAUACGGGCAGGCUAGAGUUCGGUAGGGGAGACUGGAAUUCCCGGUGUAGCGGUGGAAUGCGCAGAUAUCGGGAGGAACACCAGUAGCGAAGGCGGCUCUCUGGGCCGGUACCGACGCUGAGGAGCGAAAGCUAGGGGAGCAAACAGG
This 253-nucleotide ribosomal RNA is filed under the name uncultured bacterium. RNAcentral's name for it is "partial 16S ribosomal RNA". It matches the Rfam family "Bacterial small subunit ribosomal RNA", at positions 524 to 776 of the family's 1533-position model. The record is from RNAcentral.